UACGGGGGGGGCAAGCGUUGUUCGGAAUUACUGGGCGUAAAGGACUCGUAGGUGGCCAACUAAGUCAGACGUGAAAUCCCUCGGCUUAACCGGGGAACUGCGUCUGAUACUGGAUGGCUUGAGAUUGGGAGAGGGAUGCGGAAUUCCAGGUGUAGCGGUGAAAUGCGUAGAUAUCUGGAGGAACACCGGUGGCGAAGGCGGCAUCCUGGACCAACACUGACACUGAGGAGCGAAAGCCAGGGGAGCAAACGGG
This 253-nucleotide ribosomal RNA is filed under the name uncultured bacterium. Its description in RNAcentral is "partial 16S ribosomal RNA". It matches the Rfam family "Bacterial small subunit ribosomal RNA", at positions 524 to 776 of the family's 1533-position model. The record is from RNAcentral.